CGGCGGUGAAACGAACUAUAAACCCUGUUUGUGGUGCUUGAGCCGGUCGAAGUUGUGCUCUUGGAGUGUCAGAUUUUUUAUUAUUUUUGAAUGAAGUUAACUAAAGAAAUAGAAGCAGUGGCAAGUUUUGUAUGAAAAAUAGUAUUUUUAAGGUUGGGAAUUAUUCAAGACUGCCCUGUUGCGAGUAUACCGCGCGUAUAUAAUAUUUAUCUACGUAUACAAGUACCCGGUGAACAGAGUUGAAUGAAACAAUAUACUCAUUCAGAAAUUGAAAAAAUACUUUUUGGAGUACCUAUUCGAAGCAUUUACAGCAUUAAGAAUACUAUU
This is a long non-coding RNA of Aphis gossypii (cotton aphid), 327 nucleotides long. RefSeq lists it as uncharacterized. The transcript has 3 exons. Lineage: Eukaryota; Metazoa; Arthropoda; Insecta; Hemiptera; Aphididae. The record is from RefSeq and is a predicted model, not a curated record.